GACGAACGCUGGCGGCGUGCUUAACACAUGCAAGUCGAGCGGUAAGGGCCCUUUCGGGGGUACACGAGCGGCGAACGGGUGAGUAACACGUGGGUGACCUGCCCUCAGCUCUGGGAUAAGCCUGGGAAACCGGGUCUAAUACCGGAUAUGACUCCAUGACGCAUGUUGUGGGGUGGAAAGCCUUGUGCGGCUGAGGAUGGGCCCGCGGCCUAUCAGCUUGUUGGUGGGGUGAUGGCCUACCAAGGCGACGACGGGUAGCCGGCCUGAGAGGGCGACCGGCCACACUGGGACUGAGACACGGCCCAGACUCCUACGGGAGGCAGCAGUGGGGAAUCUUGCGCAAUGGGCGAAAGCCUGACGCAGCGACGCCGCGUGAGGGAUGACGGCCU
RNAcentral lists this ribosomal RNA (389 nucleotides) under uncultured bacterium. RNAcentral describes it as "bacterial SSU rRNA". It matches the Rfam family "Bacterial small subunit ribosomal RNA", at positions 28 to 417 of the family's 1533-position model. The record is from RNAcentral.